Long non-coding RNA from Brachypodium distachyon (stiff brome), 1394 nucleotides. RefSeq lists it as uncharacterized. Lineage: Eukaryota; Viridiplantae; Streptophyta; Magnoliopsida; Poales; Poaceae. The transcript is spliced from 6 exons. The record is from RefSeq and is a predicted model, not a curated record.
GCGUUUACGUGGCUCUAUCGUGGCCGUUCCGUAUGUUCUAUCCAGGCCAUUGCUGCGUGGUCUGCUGUUCCCGAAGGUUCUCGUGUGCGCUGGUCUCUUGGCGAUGCCGCUUCCGGCUGGAUCUCUGGAGGCGAACGGCAGAUUUCUUCUCGGGCAGUGCCCGUGGCCGGCUGGUUCCCAUUUCCCUGUCAGUUCGCGGGCCUACCACUGCUCAGCUAGUCACUGCAGGCGCAUUCGUGGCUGGGAGCUCGAGCACACCGGCGAGGCAGUGGCCAGGUCGAGGUUCUGCAGGAGCAACAUGGUGGCGCCGCCGCCGCUGCCUUCGACGGAGGAGGAACCAGGGGCGUCCCUGGUGGCCACCUGCUCAAGAGGGGGAGGGACGAGCUGGCAGAUACCUCGGCGAGGUCAUCUCCUCAACCAACACUUUUCAGCAAAGUAGAUCCACCGAUGUGUACUGACAAACACAGAUAAUUAAUCCAAGAAAGCGGCAGAAUGGGAAAUCUACAUAUGAAAAGCAUUUCAGCUUGGCAAAGAAUAAUGAGACUAAAAGAGCUAGAGAUGAAUGUUCCCUCCUACAUCCACCCUUGAGCUGCUCCUAACAAAUCCUGCUUCUUCCAAGUGCCCAGCCGCUCCAUGGUGUGCUUCCAGAAUGAAUCACACAAGCAGAAGGCAUGUGUUUCUUCUCUUGUGAUUGGUGAUAAUAAGAAACCCCUCAGUUACCUUCUUUGUGAUUGUUGUAGAUAUAUGCGAUAUCACCUCUCUACUUGAAGAUGAUUCUCUCAGUGGAUGCUCCGCUUGCAGAUGGUAACUAAUGCAGACUUGCUCAAAUAAUUCCUUCUUUGAAAGGUUGGUCCAACAUAUGCCUAAAGUAUUUCCUAAUUGUUCCAUCGUUUCACUCCCAGUUCUAAAUGUCUUUGUUCCUCCCUGAAAGUUUGGUGACCAGUUACAGAAUGUCCAGUGUAUUUAUAUGGGUGCUGAGGACUUUCCUAUGGCUUGUGCCAUAGCUAAUCUCUCCCACAGGAUGGCUGCUAAACUUACAAUGAUCCUUGGGAAACGGAAUUAUGGGUGUUGAGGACUUUCCUAUCUAGCAUUAGGUGACGAAGACUGCAUUCUUGGCAAAAUCGCUUCGGUCAACCAAUUUAUGCUUAUUGCUCCAGGAUUUUUUUUCCACUUAUGUAGGAUAAGAUUUGGGCUUGUUUUGGCAAGAUGCAAGCUUAUGAUGGCUAUUAGGAUAAAACUAAGAUUCGUGUUAAUCCCAAAAGUUUGUUUUAGGUUCUACGGAGUAUUCAUUUUUUGAAAAUAUAGUGGUUUGUGUAUAUCAUCUUUUGUUUCUUUCUCUGGAAACUAAGAUAUUUGCCGGCACAAGCAACUGAAUUGAAGCAUGCAAGGAACUA